AAUUAAAAAAUCGAGCUUUUAAGACUCGUUUUUGUUGUUUUUCAGUUGCUGACAUGGCGAAAGUUUCCACUUGGAUAGCGAGUUUAUAAAACUCGAUUUCCAAAAUCGAGUUUUAUAAACUCGCUUUCGCUUUAACACUUUUUACCCUUCCCACUUAAAACAAUCUACAGAGACCCGUUCAAAAUCUCUCAAUCUUAGACACUGCUCUCUCAAACUCUCUCAAACUCUUCCCCUCACUGUGAAAAUUUCAAAAUCAACUCACUCUCAGACACUCCGCUCUCUCAAACUCGCCGUGCCGAAGGUGCUGCUCCCAUUGACACUCAGCCACCGAAACUCAGUUCUGCUUCCAUUGACAGUCAGGCACUCAAAGUCAGUACUGCUCCCAUUGAACCACCGUGCGCCUAAGUAUGGAGCCUCGGAUUGAUGAGGAGUUAGAGGUCUUGGACCCCGGUCUGCGUCAGAGGUCAUUGUUGACAUGACAGCCAUAUCAUCGAUCAGAGGCCAUUUGGAAUGGCAAGGCAACCACUUUGGCCCUAUGGGAUCCCUCCACAAUGACUGCGACUUAGGAACCACAAAUGCAUGCUCAUAAGUGUUAAUGGCAUUGUUCAAACCAUAACACGGGUGAAUAUAUGUGGUCGAAUCAUUAUUUAAAUAGUCACAUACUCUAAUUGCAUGUGAACACGGGAUCCCUAUGUUUUUCCAUUUACCACAACUGCAUGUUCUUUCCUGUAACCGAACUUCAUAAUUGUGGUUACCCCCUCCUGCACUACACGUGUUGAGUUGGGUAACUAUUUGAAAUAUCAGCUCUUCAUUGCUAAAUGGCUUGAGAUAAUGUUUCUCAGAUUUACUCUUAUUCUCAUCCCACUUGGAGAAGGCAUAUUUACUCCAUUUCUUACCCUCUGAGAACUCAAAAAGGUAUUCUUUGCGACGGUCGUGGA
Molecule: long non-coding RNA, 938 nt
Organism: Quercus robur (English oak)
Lineage: Eukaryota; Viridiplantae; Streptophyta; Magnoliopsida; Fagales; Fagaceae
Exons: 3
Source: RefSeq, a predicted model, not a curated record